RNAcentral lists this long non-coding RNA (406 nucleotides) under Lathyrus oleraceus (garden pea). RNAcentral's name for it is "Pisum sativum (pea) long non-coding RNA (PSAT_LNC011121)". The record is from RNAcentral. Lineage: Eukaryota; Viridiplantae; Streptophyta; Magnoliopsida; Fabales; Fabaceae.
UUCGGAAAACAAACACAAUCAGAAACCUGAGUUUUCAGCUUAAAAUCAAAACCAUGGCAACAACAAUUUUAUGCAAUAAUCAUGGGGUUUGCGUUCUAUGAGACGAUAUAAACAAAGAGGUAACAUCAAAUCAUGCAAAAGGGAAGUGUUAAAUACCAAAUCGGAGCUAGUCCGACGUUCGAAUUCCGGCGAGGUGAGGUAAAUGAUCUUUAGCGUCUUUCGAGGUUCUUUCUUCCUCUCGAACUUUCCGUCUUCUUCGCUUCCUCUUCCUCUCCGUUCUUUUUUAACGAUUCGGGUUUGUCUUGGUUUUGACAGGGGCUUAGCUCGAGCUUGUUGAGCUUCGGUGUGAAAAUCUCAACAAGUUCAAAACGGAGCUUUUUAAUGAGGGUUUUGGAGUGAUUUUUCC